This 442-nucleotide ribosomal RNA is filed under the name uncultured bacterium. Its description in RNAcentral is "bacterial SSU rRNA". It matches the Rfam family "Bacterial small subunit ribosomal RNA", at positions 541 to 986 of the family's 1533-position model. The record is from RNAcentral.
UUAUCCGGAUUUAUUGGGUUUAAAGGGAGCGUAGGCGGACUGUUAAGUCAGCGGUUAAAGAGUGUGGCUCAACCAUACGAUGCCGUUGAAACUGGUGGUCUUGAGUGCACACAGGGAUGCUGGAACUCGUGGUGUAGCGGUGAAAUGCUUAGAUAUCACGAUGAACUCCGAUCGCGAAGGCAGGUGUCCGGGGUGUAACUGACGCUGAGGCUCGAAAGUGUGGGUAUCAAACAGGAUUAGAUACCCUGGUAGUCCACACAGUAAACGAUGAAUACUCGCAGUUUGCGAUACAAUGUAAGCUGCCAAGCGAAAGCAUUAAGUAUUCCACCUGGGGAGUACGCCGGCAACGGUGAAACUCAAAGGAAUUGACGGGGGCCCGCACAAGCGGAGGAACAUGUGGUUUAAUUCGAUGAUACGCGAGGAACCUUACCCGGGCUUGAAC